CGGAGGAUCCAAGCGUUAUCCGGAAUCAUUGGGUUUAAAGGGUCCGUAGGCGGUCCUGUAAGUCAGUGGUGAAAGCCCAUCGCUCAACGGUGGAGCGGCCAUUGAUACUGCAGGACUUGAAUUACUGGGAAGCAACUAGAAUAUGUAGUGUAGCGGUGAAAUGCUUAGAGAUUACAUGGAAUACCAAUUGCGAAGGCAGGUUGCUACCGGUGGAUUGACGCUGAUGGACGAAAGCGUGGGUAGCGAACAGGAUUAGAUACCCUGGUAGUCCACGCCGUAAACGAUGGAUACUAGCUGUUGGGAGCGAUCUCAGUGGCUAAGCGAAAGUGAUAAGUAUCCCACCUGGGGAGUACGAACGCAAGUUUG
RNAcentral lists this ribosomal RNA (366 nucleotides) under uncultured organism. RNAcentral's name for it is "bacterial SSU rRNA". It matches the Rfam family "Bacterial small subunit ribosomal RNA", at positions 526 to 896 of the family's 1533-position model. The record is from RNAcentral.